GCGGCGGCCAUGGCCCAGGUGAGACGCCCGGUCCCAUUCCGAACCCGGAAGCUAAGGCCUGGCACGGCGAUGGUACUGCACCCGACAGGGUGUGGGAGAGUAGCACGCCGCCGCAC
Molecule: ribosomal RNA, 116 nt
Filed under: Bifidobacterium longum subsp. longum
Lineage: Bacteria; Bacillati; Actinomycetota; Actinomycetes; Bifidobacteriales; Bifidobacteriaceae
Source: RNAcentral